Molecule: ribosomal RNA, 249 nt
Filed under: uncultured bacterium
Lineage: Bacteria
Description: partial 16S ribosomal RNA
Rfam family: Bacterial small subunit ribosomal RNA
Source: RNAcentral
GAUUAUGGCUCAGGAUGAACGCUAGCGACAGGCUUAACACAUGCAAGUCGAGGGGCAGCGAGGGAGUGGCAACACUUCUGUCGGCGACCGGCGCACGGGUGAGUAACGCGUAUGCAACCUGCCCUUCACAGGGGGGAUAACCGGGAGAAAUUCCGACUAAUACCGCAUACGUCCUUUGGGGGCAUCCCCGGGGGAUGAGAGAAUUAUCGGUGAAGGAUGGGCAUGCGUGAUAUUAGGUAGUUGGCGGGG